Molecule: unclassified non-coding RNA, 263 nt
Filed under: uncultured Pyrenopeziza
Lineage: Eukaryota; Fungi; Ascomycota; Leotiomycetes; Helotiales; Dermateaceae
Description: partial contains 5.8S ribosomal RNA, internal transcribed spacer 2, and large subunit ribosomal RNA
Rfam family: 5.8S ribosomal RNA (bases 1-52)
Source: RNAcentral
AACGCACAUUGCGCCCUCUGGUAUUCCGGAGGGCAUGCCUGUUCGAGCGUCGGAAAAAGGGUGGGGUGAAAAGCCCCGUGCUAGGCCCACGGAAGGUCAGCUUCCGGGCUUGAAAUCGGUCGGCAGCGCCGGAUCACGUCUCGAGUACGCGGAAAAGUGCUUCGGACAUCGACGGGCGUGGGAAGCCUCGGAACGCCCCGGUGAAAGGGGCCUCUUUCUAAGUUUAUGACCUCGAAUCAGGUAGGAAUACCCGCUGAACUUAA